AGUGAACGCUGGCGGUAGGCCUAACACAUGCAAGUCGAACGGCAGCACAGUAAGAGCCUGCUCUUACGGGUGGCGAGUGGCGGGCGGGUGAGGAAUACAUCGGAAUCUACUUUUUCGUGGGGGAUAACGUAGGGAAACUUACGCUAAUACCGCAUACGACCUACGGGUGAAAGCAGGGGAUCUUCGGACCUUGCGCGAUUGAAUGAGCCGAUGUCGGAUUAGCUAGUUGGCGGGGUAAAGGCCCACCAAGGCGACGAUCCGUAGCUGGUCUGAGAGGAUGAUCAGCCACACUGGAACUGAGACACGGUCCAGACUCCUACGGGAGGCAGCAGUGGGGAAUAUUGGACAAUGGGCGCAAGCCUGAUCCAGCCAUACCGCGUGGGUGAAGAAGGCCUUCGGGUUGUAAAGCCCUUUUGUUGGGAAAGAAAAGCAGCAGGUUAAUACCCCGCUGUUCUGACGGUACCCAAAGAAUAAGCACCGGCUAACUUCGUG
RNAcentral lists this ribosomal RNA (492 nucleotides) under uncultured bacterium. RNAcentral's name for it is "partial 16S ribosomal RNA". It matches the Rfam family "Bacterial small subunit ribosomal RNA", at positions 29 to 507 of the family's 1533-position model. The record is from RNAcentral.